GAUGAACGCUGGCGGCGUGCCUAAUACAUGCAAGUCGAGCGAACAGACGAGGAGCUUGCUCCUCUGACGUUAGCGGCGGACGGGUGAGUAACACGUGGAUAACCUACCUAUAAGACUGGGAUAACUUCGGGAAACCGGAGCUAAUACCGGAUAAUAUAUUGAACCGCAUGGUUCAAUAGUGAAAGACGGUUUUGCUGUCACUUAUAGAUGGAUCCGCGCCGCAUUAGCUAGUUGGUAAGGUAAUGGCUUACCAAGGCGACGAUGCGUAGCCGACCUGAGAGGGUGAUCGGCCACACUGGAACUAGGACACGGUCCAGACUCCUACGGGAGGCAGCAGUAGGGAAUCUUCCGCAAUGGGCGAAAGCCUGACGGAGCAACGCCGCGUGAGUAAUGAAGGUCUUCGGAUCGUAAAACUCUGUUAUUAGGGAAGAACAAAUGUGUAAGUAACUAUGCACGUCUUGACGGUACCUAAUCAGAAGGCCACGGCUAACUACGU
RNAcentral lists this ribosomal RNA (496 nucleotides) under uncultured bacterium. RNAcentral's name for it is "partial 16S ribosomal RNA". It matches the Rfam family "Bacterial small subunit ribosomal RNA", at positions 28 to 506 of the family's 1533-position model. The record is from RNAcentral.